Molecule: ribosomal RNA, 571 nt
Filed under: uncultured Actinomycetes bacterium
Lineage: Bacteria; Bacillati; Actinomycetota; Actinomycetes
Description: bacterial SSU rRNA
Rfam family: Bacterial small subunit ribosomal RNA
Source: RNAcentral
UAAGUGCCCCGCCUGGGGAGUACGAUCGCAAGAUUAAAACUCAAAGGAAUUGACGGGGCCCCGCACAAGCAGCGGAGCAUGCGGCUUAAUUCGACGCAACGCGAAGAACCUUACCAAGGCUUGACAUAUACAGGAAUAUGGCAGAGAUGUCAUAGCCGCAAGGUCUGUAUACAGGUGGUGCAUGGUUGUCGUCAGCUCGUGUCGUGAGAUGUCGGGUUAAGUCCCGCAACGAGCGCAACCCUCGUUCUGUGUUGCCAGCAUUAAGUUGGGGACUCACAGGAGACUGCCGGGGUUAACUCGGAGGAAGGUGGGGAUGACGUCAAAUCAUCAUGCCCCUUAUGUCUUGGGCUGCACGCAUGCUACAAUGGCUGGUACAAACGGCUGCGAUACCGCAAGGUGGAGCGAAUCCGAUAAAGCCAGUCUCAGUUCGGAUUGGGGUCUGCAACUCGACCCCAUGAAGUCGGAGUUGCUAGUAAUCGUAGAUCAGCAACGCUACGGUGAAUACGUUCCCGGGGCUUGUACACACCGCCCGUCACGUCACGAAAGUCGGUAACACCCGAAGUCAGUGGCC